UUCCUCGGUAGCUCAGUGGUAGAGCAUGCGGCUGUUAACCGCCAGGUCGCUGGUUCGAGUCCGGCCCGGGGAGU
This 74-nucleotide transfer RNA is filed under the name Holospora curviuscula. Its description in RNAcentral is "tRNA-Asn". It matches the Rfam family "tRNA". Rfam says of the family: Transfer RNA (tRNA) molecules are approximately 80 nucleotides in length. Their secondary structure includes four short double-helical elements and three loops (D, anti-codon, and T loops). Lineage: Bacteria; Pseudomonadati; Pseudomonadota; Alphaproteobacteria; Holosporales; Holosporaceae. The record is from RNAcentral.